UUAAUACUGGUAAUUCACUGGGCGUACAACGCGUGCGCUAGGCGGUUUUGGUAACGACAGAUGUGAAAUCCCCGGGCUUAACCUGUGGAACUGCGUUCUGUGAACAUGCAAGGCAUAGAGUAUCGGCAGAGGGGGGUGGAAUUCCCUGGUGUACGCAUGUGUAAAUGCGUAGAUAUCAGGAGGAACACUCGAUGGCGUAAGGCAUGCCCCCUGGGCCUGUACUUGACGCUCAUGCACGUGAAGCGUGGGGAGCAAACAGGAUUAGAUACCCUGGUAGUCCACGCACCUAAACGAUGUCGACUAGUACGUUACGGAGCUAGCUAAUGCACUGAGUGACGCUAGCUAACGUCGUGAAGUUGACCGCCUGGGG
This 370-nucleotide ribosomal RNA is filed under the name uncultured beta proteobacterium. Its description in RNAcentral is "bacterial SSU rRNA". It matches the Rfam family "Bacterial small subunit ribosomal RNA", at positions 549 to 873 of the family's 1533-position model. The record is from RNAcentral. Lineage: Bacteria; Pseudomonadati; Pseudomonadota; Betaproteobacteria.